This 863-nucleotide ribosomal RNA is filed under the name uncultured Clostridia bacterium. RNAcentral's name for it is "bacterial SSU rRNA". It matches the Rfam family "Bacterial small subunit ribosomal RNA", at positions 26 to 896 of the family's 1533-position model. Lineage: Bacteria; Bacillati; Bacillota; Clostridia. The record is from RNAcentral.
CGGAUUAACGCUGGCGGCGUGCAUAACACAUGCAAGUCGAACGAUGAAACUUAAAUGAUCUCUUCGGAGUGAAUUUAAGUGGAUUAGUGGCGGACGGGUGAGUAACGCGUGAGUAACCUGCCUUAGAGAAGGGGAUAGCCUUUGGAAACGAAGAAUAAUACCCUAUGAAACCAUAACCUCGCAUGAGGCCUUGGUCAAAGAUUUAUCGCUCUAAGAUGGACUUGCGUCUGAUUAGUUAGUUGGUGGGGUAACGGCCUACCAAGACAGCGAUCAGUAGCCGGCUUGAGAGAGUGUACGGCCACAUUGGGACUGAGACACGGCCCAGACUCCUACGGGAGGCAGCAGUGGGGAAUUUUGCACAAUGGGGGAAACCCUGAUGCAGCGACGCCGCGUGAUUUAGAAGGCCUUCGGGUUGUAAAAAUCUUUUCUAUGGGAAGAAAAUGACAGUACCAUAGGAAUAAGGACCGGCUAAUUACGUGCCAGCAGCCGCGGUAAUACGUAAGGUCCGAGCGUUGUCCGGAAUCAUUGGGCGUAAAGGGUACGUAGGCGGGUAAGCAAGUUAGAAGUGAAAUCCUAUAGCUCAACUAUAGUAAGCUUUUAAAACUGCUCAUCUUGAGGUAUGGAAGGGAAAGUGGAAUUCCUAGUGUAGCGGUGAAAUGCGCAGAUAUUAGGAGGAAUACCGGUGGCGAAGGCGACUUUCUGGCCAUAACCUGACGCUGAGGUACGAAAGCGUGGGUAGCAAACAGGAUUAGAUACCCUGGUAGUCCACGCCGUAAACGAUGAGUGUUAGGUGUCUGGAGUAAAUCUGGGUGCCGCAGCUAACGCAUUUAACACUCCGCCUGGNGAGUACGCGCGNCAGCGUG